UCCGCAGGCUGUCAAUUAAGUCAGAGGUGAAAUACCAUAGCUCAACUAUGGAACUGCCUUUGAUACUGGUUGACUUGAGUCAUAUGGAAGUAGAUAGAAUGUGUAGUGUAGCGGUGAAAUGCAUAGAUAUUACACAGAAUACCGAUUGCGAAGGCAGUCUACUACGUAUGUACUGACGCUGAGGGACGAAAGCGUGGGGAGCGAACAGGAUUAGAUACCCUGGUAGUCC
This 229-nucleotide ribosomal RNA is filed under the name uncultured bacterium. RNAcentral describes it as "partial 16S ribosomal RNA". It matches the Rfam family "Bacterial small subunit ribosomal RNA", at positions 568 to 796 of the family's 1533-position model. The record is from RNAcentral.